UGGAACAGAGCUUGCUUCCCACAACUCUAGUCACCUUAUAUUUUCAUGAAAUGUUUUGAUCUUUGCCAAUCUGUGACGUGAAUUGACAUCACGUGUCUCCAGGAUGACACAGUGGGAAGGACUCAGCCUCUCCUCCGUGAUAUUCCUGCCCAAAGUGCAUGACUGAACCUAUUCAUGAGGGAACAGCUGAGCUGUGCCAGAGAUCUGCGGAAUGGAUGGACGAAGACCCAGGCC
Long non-coding RNA from Choloepus didactylus (southern two-toed sloth), 234 nucleotides. RefSeq lists it as uncharacterized. The transcript is spliced from 3 exons. Lineage: Eukaryota; Metazoa; Chordata; Mammalia; Pilosa; Megalonychidae. The record is from RefSeq and is a predicted model, not a curated record.